GACAGAGGUGCCGAGCGUUAGGCGGAAUCACUGGGCUUAAAGCGUGUGUAGGCGGAUGGGUAAGUACCUUGUGAAAUCCCACGGCUCAACCGUGGAAACUGCUCGGUAUACUGCUCGUCUUGAGCCAACUAGGGGCGACCGGAACAAACGGUGGAGCGGUGAAAUGCGUAGAUAUCGUCAAGAACACCGAUAGCGAAGGCAGCUUA
Molecule: ribosomal RNA, 206 nt
Filed under: uncultured bacterium
Lineage: Bacteria
Description: partial 16S ribosomal RNA
Rfam family: Bacterial small subunit ribosomal RNA
Source: RNAcentral